Molecule: ribosomal RNA, 503 nt
Filed under: uncultured bacterium
Lineage: Bacteria
Description: bacterial SSU rRNA
Rfam family: Bacterial small subunit ribosomal RNA
Source: RNAcentral
AACGAACGCUGGCGGCGUGGAUUAGGCAUGCAAGUCGAACGAGAACGUACCUUCGGGGUGCUAGUAAAGUGGCGAACGGGUGAGUAACGCGUGGGAAACCUGCUUCCGACUGGGGAAGUAACAGUCCUAACGGACUGCUAAUACCGCAUGACGCCCUCGAACGCAUGUUCGAGGUUUAAAGGUGGCCUCUACUUGUAAGCUACCGGUUGGAAAUGGCCCGCGUCCUAUUAGUUUGUUGGUGGGGUAACGGCUACCAAGGCAUCGAUGGGUAGCCGGCGUUGAGAGAGUGGUCGGCCACACUGGGACGUGAGAUACGGCCCAGACUCCUACGGGAGGCAGCAGUCGAGAGGCUUCGGCAAUGGGGGAAACCCUGACCGAGCGACGUCGCGUGGGUGAUGAAGAUCUUUGGAUCGUAAAACCCUGUCAGGUGGGAAGAAACACCAUUCGGUUAAUACCUGAGUGGCUUGACGGUACCACCAGAGGAAGCUCCGGCUAACUCCGUG